RNAcentral lists this ribosomal RNA (397 nucleotides) under uncultured bacterium. Its description in RNAcentral is "partial 16S ribosomal RNA". It matches the Rfam family "Bacterial small subunit ribosomal RNA", at positions 523 to 918 of the family's 1533-position model. The record is from RNAcentral.
AUACGUAGGUGGCAAGCGUUGUCCGGAAUUAUUGGGCGUAAAGCGCGCGCAGGCGGUCCUUUAAGUCUGAUGUGAAAGCCCACGGCUCAACCGUGGAGGGUCAUUGGAAACUGGGGGACUUGAGUGCAGAAGAGGAAAGUGGAAUUCCAAGUGUAGCGGUGAAAUGCGUAGAGAUUUGGAGGAACACCAGUGGCGAAGGCGACUUUCUGGUCUGUAACUGACGCUGAGGCGCGAAAGCGUGGGGAGCAAACAGGAUUAGAUACCCUGGUAGUCCACGCUGUAAACGAUGAGUGCUAAGUGUUAGGGGGUUUCCGCCCCUUAGUGCUGCAGCUAACGCAUUAAGCACUCCGCCUGGGGAGUACGGUCGCAAGGCUGAAACUCAAAUGAAUUGACGGGG